Ostrinia nubilalis (European corn borer) is the source of this 1502-nucleotide long non-coding RNA. RefSeq lists it as uncharacterized. Lineage: Eukaryota; Metazoa; Arthropoda; Insecta; Lepidoptera; Crambidae. The record is from RefSeq and is a predicted model, not a curated record. The transcript is spliced from 5 exons.
UCAUCCGUCAAGUGUCAACUGGUGUCAACAUUUUAUUUUUACUGCCGUUUGAGUGGGUGAUUUUUAGUAUUACAAUAAAUAAAAAAAUCAUGUGCAUGAGCAUGCGCUGCCACGCAGAUGGAAAGUGACGUGGCAAAAAGUUUGGAGCAUAGAACUUCAUGGGACAGGGGCACCAAACGUUCUCCCCUCGCCGUAAGCAUUCAGGGCCUCCGUCGGUGCUGGAGUUACAAUGUUCAUACACGUGUCGCGCAUAACCUAGACGGCGCGCAUUGGCGGUGGUAGGUCAUUCCAGCACCGCGUGGCUGCGAAUCUAAAGGAUCCCCUGAAAGCCACAGUUCGAUGUUGAGGAGUGAGAAAGCUCAACAUAUUGCCGCCUUCUGGACAGAUAACUAUGAAACCAACGGACAGUACCUGGGUCGAGACCAUAAUAGCUCAUCUUGGACAGCAGCAAGGGUAUAUUAAUUGAAUCGAAGGCCCUAGAGAAAUCAAGCAGCAGUAGCAAGGUGACCUUCCCCUGGUCCUGUGCAGCCAGGAUAUUAUCAACAACAUCUGCCAAGGCGGUUGCCGUCCCACAGCCUCGCCGGAAACCUGAUUGAUAGUGUGGAAGCAUAUUGUUUUCUUCAAGAUAUUUAGUUAGCUGAUCACACACUAUCCUCUCAAGCACCUUGGAGAGGCAUGGGAGGAUACUUAUCGGCCUGAGAUCGCACAAUGAUGUUGGGUGGUUAUUCUUCGGAAUUGGUUUUAUAAGUGCUAUUUUCCAACUAUCAGGAAAUUUAUUGUCAAGGAUGGAUCGGUUGACUAUUGCAGUAAUGGCGUCCAGUGAAUGCGGCAGAGUAAGCAACAGCAUGUCAAGUGACAGGCCAUCAUGCCCCUGAGCAUUAGAUUUGAGUCCAUUGAUAGUUUUCAAGACUACUUCUGGACUGACAGUCCGUAAUGAGAAAUGUGCAGAGCUACAGUGCCUAUGGUGUUCAAAGAAAGUGAGCUGUGACAUUGACACACCAUCAGCACCUGGCACAUCCAAGAAAUGUAAAUUUGUUUGGUGUGCGUCAUUGAACAUGGAAGAGCUGGGGUUCUGUGCCGCUUGUACUGAGCAUGAAGCCUAUCCCUUAUGCCCAUCAUUGACUUGAUUGUGUCGGUAAUCCACGGAUGAGGUGGAUGCCUGAACUUUCGAGUUUUGAUUGGGGCAUGCAGGUCAAACAGACCAACAAUACAGAAGGUGAAGGCCUCAACCAAUUGGUCAACAUUGAGAAUAUGGUCGAAGUUCUGCCAGCUAAUUGCCUCAAGUUCAGUCAGCUUGAUGGAAUGCCAAACACUCUUUCAAGAUCUUCCAUCGAUCGGAGCUGGUAGAUUUGAGCGCCAUCGCCCCUGCGCACGAGCACACGGCCCCGCCUCGUCCAGCAGUACCGCCAUUGUGACCUACGGCACUCCUCGCGCGCCCGGUGGAAGAGCAGGCGGUUGGGGCGAGUCAACCUUUCGUUGACGUAGACCCUGCCGCCACCGUC